This 405-nucleotide ribosomal RNA is filed under the name Mesabolivar sp. 5 JJA-2006. RNAcentral describes it as "partial 16S ribosomal RNA". Lineage: Eukaryota; Metazoa; Arthropoda; Arachnida; Araneae; Pholcidae. The record is from RNAcentral.
AACCUGCUCAAUGAAAUAUAUAAAUAGCCGCAGAAUUCUGUGCUAAGGUAGCAUAAUCACUAGCUUUCUAAUUAAAAGAUAGAAUGAAUGGUUAAACGAAAUUUUAUCUGUUUCUUUUAUUUAAAAUUAAUUUAAAAUAAUAGUAAAAAUUCUACUAAUUUUAAGAAAGACGAUAAGACCCUAUAAACUUAUAUAUUUAGCUGGGGCGGCAAAAUAAAAAAACCUUAAUAAAUAUAAGACACAAAACAAAUUAAAUCUAUAUAGAAAAAGUUACUAUAGGGAUAACAGCGCUACUAUUUUCUAAAGCUCUUAUAUAAAAAAUUCCUACGACCUCGAUGUUGAAUUAUUAUCCUUAAUUAAUGCAAAAAUUAUUACAAAGGUAGUCUGUUCGACUAUUAAAUAUAU